AGUGAACGCUGGCGGUAGGCCUAACACAUGCAAGUCGAACGGCAGCACAGUAAGAGCUUGCUCUUACGGGUGGCGAGUGGCGGACGGGUGAGGAAUACAUCGGAAUCUACUUUUUCGUGGGGGAUAACGUAGGGAAACCUAAGCUAAUACCGCAUACCACCUUCGGGUGAAAGCAGGGGAACUUCGGACCUUGCGCGAUUGAAUGAGCCGAUGUCGGAUUAGAUAGUUGGCGGGGUAAAGGCCCACCAAGGCGACGAUCCGUAGCUGGUCUGAGAGGAUGAUCAGCCACACUGGAACUGAGACACGGUCCAGACUCCUACGGGAGGCAGCAGUGGGGAAUAUUGGACAAUGGGCGCAAGCCUGAUCCAGCCAUACCGCGUGGGUGAAGAAGGCCUUCGGGUUGUAAAGCCCUUUUGUUGGGAAAGAAAAGCAGCAGGUUAAUACCCCGCUGUUCUGACGGUACCCAAAGAAUAAGCACCGGCUAACUUCGUG
RNAcentral lists this ribosomal RNA (492 nucleotides) under uncultured bacterium. RNAcentral describes it as "partial 16S ribosomal RNA". It matches the Rfam family "Bacterial small subunit ribosomal RNA", at positions 29 to 507 of the family's 1533-position model. The record is from RNAcentral.